UCUUCUUAUUGGCAUUACAUCCCCACACUGGGAUAGAGCCGCCUCGCAGCUUAGUGUUCAUUAAGCACUUCCACAGUUAUUAACUGCGAGGUUUCUAAGCCAGGUUACCAUUUUUGCAUUCGUAUAUCAUGAGGCUAACAACGAUGAUACUUUUAUGCCCAGGGAAGUCGAGACAAUUUCCAAUCCGAAAAUUACCUAGACCGGCACCGGGAAUCGAACCCAGCCACCCUCAGCAUGGUCUUGCUUUGUAGCCGCGCGUCUUACCGCACGGCUAAGGAGGGCCCCUCUUUCGCGCUCAAAGGACCCGAAUAGAAAUAAAUGUGUGAUAGUGACAAACGCAUCGACAAGAGAUCCAACUGCCAUUCAAGUUUUUUUUCGAAGUUAAUGGCGGUGUGCAAUGUGUUUGUGCGAAAGAAAACCUAAAAUUAAACGGAUUAUAAUGCAUAAAUUUCAACCUCAUACCGGGAAACAGUACGCCAUUGCGCGAGCGGAUGUGGUUGAGCAGCGAAAAAACGAAGGAACAUGCAGCACCAUCGAAAUCUGCGAAGAGGCACUGAUGAUAAUAUCAACAUUUCAAUAUGAUAUAAGAUGGUAAAUAAUAAUUAUAUAAGAAGAUGGGAAAUUAAAUAUAAAUAAAACUU
Molecule: long non-coding RNA, 641 nt
Organism: Armigeres subalbatus
Lineage: Eukaryota; Metazoa; Arthropoda; Insecta; Diptera; Culicidae
Exons: 4
Source: RefSeq, a predicted model, not a curated record